RNAcentral lists this transfer RNA (72 nucleotides) under Myotis davidii. It matches the Rfam family "tRNA". Rfam says of the family: Transfer RNA (tRNA) molecules are approximately 80 nucleotides in length. Their secondary structure includes four short double-helical elements and three loops (D, anti-codon, and T loops). Lineage: Eukaryota; Metazoa; Chordata; Mammalia; Chiroptera; Vespertilionidae. The record is from Rfam by way of RNAcentral.
GCCGGUUUGGCUCAGUGGAUAGAGCAUCGGCCUGUGGACCAGAGGGUCCGGGUUCGAUUCCCGUCAAGGGCA